Molecule: long non-coding RNA, 286 nt
Organism: Bombina bombina (fire-bellied toad)
Lineage: Eukaryota; Metazoa; Chordata; Amphibia; Anura; Bombinatoridae
Exons: 3
Source: RefSeq, a predicted model, not a curated record
GAAAAUCUAAACUUCCUGAUGAGGAGCAGCCAAACAUCAGCCCCGUCAUCAGGAAAGCUUCUCUGAAAAAGGAGAAGAUAAAAAAGAAAACAAAGAAAGAAAAGAAGGAGAAAAAGGAGGUGGAACAGAAGGAGGAAGACGAGGAGGAAGUGAUAGGAGAGAAGGAGGUGAAGGUGCAGAAGAAGAAGGAUGAAAACUCAGGGGAAGCUCCAAUUGAAACCAAAGAGAAAGCAGUGCAGACAGACAGCACACAAGAAGUAAAAUGGAAACUUUUGGAGUUUUGGAU